RNAcentral lists this unclassified non-coding RNA (324 nucleotides) under Hevea brasiliensis (rubber tree). Lineage: Eukaryota; Viridiplantae; Streptophyta; Magnoliopsida; Malpighiales; Euphorbiaceae. The record is from RNAcentral.
GUUAAUUCCAUGUUGCUUUGAUUUCGUCCAUAUGUUAUUCAACAUGUACGCACUAACAACAACAUAAAUCUUCUAAUACUACUUCACACGUGUAUUUCCUUUGGUUGAUAAUUGAUAUGCUUCAGCAAAACCUUCUUCGUUGCGUUUCUUGGGCCAAAGAUGUACAGAAAAUCAAGAAUAUAUAUAUAAACAUCAGUAUAAAGAAAAAUACCAAAUCAACCAUAUUUACUGCUCUUCAUUAUGUAAGAAGUAUAGAAAGGAACUUACAAUAAUUGCACUAAGCUGCAAUACAAUCUCCACUCUAAAUUUUCACACAAGAACAUG